UGUGGGGUGCUCGAGUGGCGAACGGGUGAGUAACACGUGAGUAACCUGCCCUUGACUUUGGGAUAACUUCAGGAAACUGGGGCUAAUACCGGAUAGGAGCUCCUGCUGCAUGGUGGGGGUUGGAAAGUUUCGGCGGUUGGGGAUGGACUCGCGGCUUAUCAGCUUGUUGGUGGGGUAGUGGCUUACCAAGGCUUUGACGGGUAGCCGGCCUGAGAGGGUGACCGGCCACAUUGGGACUGAGAUACGGCCCAG
Molecule: ribosomal RNA, 252 nt
Filed under: uncultured Actinomycetales bacterium
Lineage: Bacteria; Bacillati; Actinomycetota; Actinomycetes; Actinomycetales
Description: partial 16S ribosomal RNA
Rfam family: Bacterial small subunit ribosomal RNA
Source: RNAcentral